GUAGGUGGCAAGCGUUGUCCGGAAUUAUUGGGCGUAAAGCGCGCGCAGGCGGUUCUUUAAGUCUGAUGUGAAAGCCCACGGGCUCAACCGUGGAGGGUCAUUGGAAACUGGAGAACUUGAGUACAGAAGAGGAAAGCGGAAUUCCACGUGUAGCGGUGAAAUGCGUAGAGAUGUGGAGGAACACCAGUGGCGAAGGCGGCUUUCUGGUCUGUAACUGACGCUGAGGCGCGAAAGCGUGGGGAGCAAACAGGAUUAGAUACCCUGGUAGUCCACGCCGUAAACGAUGAGUGCUAAGUGGUUAGGGGGUUUCCGCCCCUUAGUGCUGCAGCUAACGCAUUAAGCACUCCGCCGUGGGGAGUACGGCCGCAAGGCUG
This 374-nucleotide ribosomal RNA is filed under the name uncultured organism. RNAcentral's name for it is "partial 16S ribosomal RNA". It matches the Rfam family "Bacterial small subunit ribosomal RNA", at positions 527 to 896 of the family's 1533-position model. The record is from RNAcentral.